AUGAUUAUGACGCAACUGCUUCUGGUUGCAUUGAGGGGGCUUCUAUCGGAAAACGUCCGAUUAGCCAUUGUGAAGCUAUGUGCAUUCCUCAAUGCAAUCUCUCAGAAGGUGAUUGAUCCAGAAAUCGUACCAAGGCUAAGGAGUGAUGUGGUGCAAUUUCUUGUCAGUUUCGAGCUGGUGUUCCCACCAUCCUUCUUCAAUAUCAUGACGAACGUCCUAGUUCAUCUAGUCGACGAGAUUGUCAUCCUAGGGCCCGUAUUUCUACACAAUAUGUUCCCCUUUAAGAGGUUCAUGGGAGUCCUAAAGAAAUAUGUCCGUAACGGCGCUAGGCCAGAAGGAAGCAUCUCCAUGGGCCAUCAAACAGAGGAUGUUAUCGGGUUUUGUGUUGACUUCAUUCCUGGACUUAAGAAGAUAGGUCUCCCUAAAUCACGGUAUGAGGGGAGACUGACUGGAAAAGGCACUCUUGAAAGAGACUCAAUAAUAUGCACGGACGGAUACUCUUGGUCUCAAGCACACUACACAGUUCUACAGAACUCUACCUUGGUGACCCCGUAUGUCGAUGAACACAAGAACAAUCUACGCUCCAAACACCCGGAGCAGUGCGACGACUGGAUUACAUGUGAACACAUCAGGACUUUCAGCAGUUGGUUGGAAACACGUCUCAGAGGUGACAACACUGUUUGUGAUGAGUUGUACUUGUUGUCCAGGGGACCAUCUUUGACUGUAUUGACUUACAAAGGAUACGAGAUAAAUGUGAAUACAUUUUACACGAUCGCCCAAGAUCAAAAGAGCACCAACCAAAACAGCGGUGUCCGCUUUGAUGCAGCAACCGAGAGCGGAAAGGACGCAUAUUAUGGUUACAUAGUGGACAUAUGGGAACUUGAUGACGGACCUGAUUUUAAGGUCCCUUUGUUUAAGUGCAAAUGGGUCAAUCUGUUAGGCGGCGGGGUAUAG
This 954-nucleotide ribosomal RNA is filed under the name Triticum aestivum (bread wheat). RNAcentral describes it as "partial small subunit ribosomal RNA". The record is from RNAcentral. Lineage: Eukaryota; Viridiplantae; Streptophyta; Magnoliopsida; Poales; Poaceae.